RNAcentral lists this ribosomal RNA (314 nucleotides) under uncultured bacterium. Its description in RNAcentral is "bacterial SSU rRNA". It matches the Rfam family "Bacterial small subunit ribosomal RNA", at positions 30 to 350 of the family's 1533-position model. The record is from RNAcentral.
AUUGAACGCUGGCGGUAUGCUUAACACAUGCAAGUCGAACGGUAGCAGCUCUUCGGAUGCUGACGAGUGGCGAACGGGUGAGUAAUGUAUCGGAACGUGCCCAGUAGUGGGGGAUAACUACUCGAAAGAGUGGCUAAUACCGCAUGAGAACUGAGGUUGAAAGCGGGGGACCUUCGGACCUCGCGCCAUUAGAUGAGCCUAGGUCGGAUUAGCUAGUUGGUGAGGUAAUGGCUCACCAAGGCGACGAUCAGUAUCUGGUUUGAGAGGACGAUCAGACACACUGGAACUGAGACACGGUCCAGACUCGUGAUGCU